RNAcentral lists this long non-coding RNA (6649 nucleotides) under Homo sapiens (human). Its description in RNAcentral is "HSALNT0293878". Lineage: Eukaryota; Metazoa; Chordata; Mammalia; Primates; Hominidae. The record is from RNAcentral.
CGCCCGUUCGCGCUGCCAGCAGCUUCCGCCUGCUACGGUCCUGGCAAGCACCUCGGGAUCCCAUUCCUUCACAGGGACCCUAGCCAGUUAAAGCUGAUACAUUCCUGUGGGUCAACUAUGCAACUAACUCAGAUUUUGAGCAAACAAAGCUCUCAAGUUGGUGAUCCUCAGGAGUCUCUGCAUUAGUUGGACAGCUCUUCUGGAAUUAUCUUCUAAGUCAACUGUGGGUUGGGUAGGUGGCUCUGCUGAUUUUUCGCUGGACUUCCACAUUUGGGACGAGUUGGCUGUCAUCAGCUCUAGAAAGGGUGUGGCCGUUUUACAUUGGCUGUUUUCCUCACAUUCCUCAAGCAGGUACUGUAAUAAAGAACUGGAGAAAUACAGUCAGAUGGGAAGUAGCCCUUGCUGUCAAGGAGCUUGCCAUCUAAUGGGGGAGACAGGCAAGUAAACCAAAGACUACACAGUGCAGUAUGGUAAGUGCCAUGAUUUUGAUGUGACAGGGCACAGUGGACGACCUUCCAAAUCAAAGCAAGUAACUAGGGGUUGACAAUGGUAAGUAUCAUAGUUGAAGUAUCCUUGAACAAGGUUUCAGGAAGAAGAAGAAGGGAAUUUCAUGCAGGGAAACAGCCAAAGCUCAGUGAGUCAAAAUAUCACAGCAUUCUUGGUAAGCCCAAUUGUUUUUUCUGUUUUGCUAUUUUGGUGGAGAGAAAGGAACACAUAAAGGAAUAACAUGAGAGAAGGCUAUUUGGGGAAGUGUAGUAGUUAAGGUUCUGGCUCAAACAACAACUGCAGCUCAUAAAGUUGACUUUAGUGGAAGGAUACUGGGGUAUCUCAUGGAAUCUUGGGAACUGUUGAAUAACCAGGGAAACUCUGGGAAACUCACUGGUAGGAAUCCAUAAACUGUCCUCCUGGUGGGCUGUAAACAACUCACCCUCUAUGCAUCUCACAUCAAAAUUCCAGUUUCUUGGGAAAACAAGUCUGUUUGCCCAAUUUGGGUCAUAUUUCCACGUCCAUGUUACUCAGGCAUGAUUCAUCUGCAAGUUAUGUGUAUAGAUAUUUUGCUACUGUUCCACCCUUACGCUGUGCUGGGGAGGGAGGUGUCACUGUGAGCUGUGUCGGUGCCUUAAGAGAUAUCUGUUGUGUCUUAUUACUUGGUUGCUUUUCCCCACAUGUACAAUGACAAAAAUGCCUUCAACCUAUUUGAUCCAGCCGUUCCAGUACAACUCCUAUACUUGCCAUCUUUCCAAGCCCAAAGGUACAUCCAGCUGAUGGAAGGAGCAUCUUGGUGUUAAUAUUCUUUUAGUCAUGGUCUCUGAAAGUAAAAUGUCUAUUCUUCUAAUUCUGGCACAAUCUUAUCUAGCUAUAGUUCCUCAUGGUCCUGCACUCCAUGGACUAAAUUGUAAGUAUAAUUACUACCAAUGUACUCUAUAAAUAACUUUUGGGGCCAGGGUGGCAAUAGUUGCUAGAGAGAAAAAAAAAAAAAAGGAAGGAGAAGAAAACAGUGAUAGUUCUUAUUUUAAAAGGAAAAAAAGAGGCAGGAGGCUCUCUUGAGGCCAGGAGUUUAAGACCAGCCUAGGCAGCAUUUCAAGACCCUGUCUCUACUAAAAAGUAAAAAAAAAAUUUAGUCAGGCAUGGUGGCAUGCACCUGUAGUCGUAGCUACUCAGGAGACUGAGGUGGGAGGAUUGAUUGAGCUCAGGAGUUUGAGGCUGCAGUGAGCAAUCAUCAUGCCAUUGCACUCCAGCCUGGGCAUCAGAGCAAGACCUUGUCUUUUAGGAAAAAAAGGCAGGGAAGAGGAAUAGGUAAUUUUUCAGUGUUCAGACAUUCCAGCAAUAUGUGUGGAGUACUCAUUCUCACUACAGUUUAUGAGGCCAUAGCUAGUAUGUAUGACUACCCAUCCAAGUUUCCCUGCUUACAGUUACUAUUCCAACUGAUUGGGGGGCUUUUCCUAAUAGAGUGAUUUAAGCCUUCAUUUUUAGACAUCUAAGCCCUUGGUGAUCAUCAGCAUAAAAUGUGACAAAUUAAACAAAAGCAAGACAGCACAUCAGAGAACAACUCUGAGGUGGAAUGAUUGGGAACCAAUGAAUAGUUGUUCAGUAAAUGGUUUAUAUUUUACAGAUGAUGAAACUGAAACACAAAAAAUUUAGAUUAACUCUUAGGUGACAAAGCCAGGAUUGAAGCUCAUGCGGUCUGGCUCCAGAACAACUCUUCUUCAUAGUUACGUUAUACUGCCCCUGCAUUGUUGGUAUUGAAAGCUGGAGUGCAGUGACACGAUCUCAGCUCACUGCAACCUCCACCUCCCAGGUUCAAGCGAUUCUCCUGCCUCAGCCUCCCAAGUAGCUGGAACUACAGGCACGCACCACAACACCCAGCUAAUUUUUGUAUUUUCAGUAGAGACAGGGUUUCACCAUGUUGGCCAGGAUGGUCUUGAUCUCUUGACCUCGUGAUCUGCCCGCCUCGGCCUCCCAAAGUUCUGGGAUUACAGACGUGAGCCACCAUGCCCGGCAUAUAUGAAGUUUUAAAAAAUCAGAAUACAGAACAAAAUUUAUUGGGAGAUGAGCUUCUUUCUUUCUCUCUUCAACACCAUCGCCACAUCACCUCCACAUAUACACACACUGAAAAGAUACUGAAAAGACAUAAUAACCAUGGGAAAUGGAGAUUACUGGAUUGUUAAAUGUUCUUUUUGCCUGUCUUUAUUCUCUAACUUUGCUAUAAUGAACAGAAAUUAUUUUUUGAUAAGCAAAAAAUAUUUUAAAUUUAAACAUGUAAAGUAACUUAGUAGUUGUCUUUUCAAAAUAUGUAAGAAUCAUUAGUUCACUAGUUGGUUAAAUAUGUUUUUAAUCCCAACAUCUUGAUAAUUGUCGCAAAAUUGAGGGAACAUUUUUUGAACUCUAAAAUGCUAUAGAAUUGACAGAUCAUUUUUCAGUUCAUAAGUUAUUACUUAUAAUCAGUUUUUUUAUUGUUACUAUGGCAAUAUUUUAUACACAAGAAUGGCUGAGGUUAGGAAUUUGUGCCCUGAAAAUUGUAUCAACAUAUCAAAUAUGAAGUAAAUAACAAUUUCUUGCUUUAAAUAUAACAAAGAUGUGGGAAGAAGUGGUAGGCAAGAGUCUCUGUGUUACCAUGGGAACGAUUAAGUUUUCCAAGGUGCAAACCAGCCUCAUUCCAGCUUCAGGGUCAAUGACUUACUAGCUCAGAGGGAAAUGUAUAAAUAUUUAAGUACAUACCUACUAUCUGUACAGAGUGACUCUCAUUACCCAGAGAACUGCUGUAAAAUAUUAUUUAUUCACAGAUUACACAAAACCAAUCUAAAUUAGUACUUUUAUACAUUCUAUUUGGGGAGUACUUAAGGUGUAUGAGCAAACAAAUUGUUAUCCAGGUCACUCCAGAACUGUUGUAUACAGAUUAAGAAUUGAUGUUGGAUACUAAUUAAAAUCAUUAAAGCAAAAUCAAAAAACACUUUGGCUAGCAUUUCAAUUAUUUUUUAAACAGGAUUUCUUAAAACAAUCCCCAAAGUAGUCUUGUAAUUUGUUCAUUUUAAGGAUCUAUGUUACUCUGAGGCCAAUCAAGGGGGCUAACAGUCUAGUUGGGGAGCCAAGAUAGCCAUUCAUCAAUUCAUUCAUUCAUUCAGUAAAAUGUAUUGAGAACCUACUAUGUACCAAGCAAUGUGCUGGGCACUAAGCAUUGAAGAAUACCUGAAACAUGGCACCUGACCUCAAAAAGCUUAAAAUUAGGAGACAUAGACAUGUAAGUAAAUAACUGCUAUAGGCAAAUCUCAGCAACUGCCACACCUGCUUGCUCCUUUAGCAGAACUUCUCUGAUUGGCCAUAUUCUGCACAUAGUGACCAACUCACCUCUUUUCCCUAUCUGCUUUCCUUGCUAUAGCUGAGAAAAAAGCUGUGGCCCAAAAGUUUCUCCCCUGAGAGGGACAGGAUCAGAUUGUCUUUUCAAGAGUUCCCAUGUGCAAUACAGAGCUGAAGUUGAAGCUGAAAGGAUUCAUAGAGAAAGGCCAGUAUAAAUCUUCAGCAUACCAAAGUUAUGAGAAAGGAGAAAGCUUGCAAUGCAUGUAUAGAGGAGGUGCUGAGGAGUUGGUGGUAGCAGCAGACAAGGGAGGAGAAAUGGAUAGAAUCAUGGUUAUUGUCAAGGUGGAGGAUCCGUGAACUGCAACUGAAGAGGGCUAGUGACAUGACCCAGUUCUUAGGGCUGUCUCUAUUCCUGAAUAUUUACUUAAUAUAAGGCAAUUCUUAUAUAGCAUUAGGGUAAAAAAAAAAAAAAAAGGAUUCGAAGUUUCCGAGAGACUUCUGUUUCAGCCAUAACAGAAUAGUGAAUUUACCUUCCCCCAGUAAAUAGCCAUAAAAUUAAAUAAAGUAAAUAAAACCAACUGUUUUCAGACAUUGGACAAUAGAAAGCACAGAACUCUAUGAUCCUUGAGAGAAGGGGAACAAAGAAGGUGUUAAUCACAAAGCAAUUUAAUUUACAUAAGCAAGGAAUAUAUUAAACAUCUAUUUAGAAAUCAUUUGCAUGAAUGUUCAAUAUUCACUUUAUUUCCAGAGUCAUCCAUAUGUAAUCUGGAUUACUUAGAGGCUGUCACGUUAGCCAACAUUAAUGUAUAAUGAAAGCGCAUCAGUUUAAUAUAAGCAUCCACAAGUGACCAUAUGGGAGAAGCAGUUAACAUUGAGCUUGCUGCAAUACUAAGGGAGUUACUUUUAUAAAAAUUAGGCUAUAAAAAAAAAUUAGGCUGUAGUCUCCAUAAUGUAUUAUACAACUAAUUUAACUCUGGAAAUCUACCUAUAAUCCUACAAAAUAUUUGCAGAUAAUCAACUGCAAGUUCAGACUUGGAAAUAAACAAAAGAACUACCCACUGUUUGCUUAAAUCCGCUUAGGUCAGCAAUAUACCUGAAAUUCAGUAGCUUGCUGUCAGUUAAGAUGCCGUGCAUUAACACUGAAGGAACUGUUGUGGAGAGGAAGCAGGGAAUGAUUAGCACUGAAACCACUGCACUUUUAUAAGGAAGGAAAAUUUUCUUUAUGCGGGUAUGAAUAAUACUAACAAAUGAAAUACUGGAACAUGUAGGUGGAGGAUACAUCAUUUUGGCUGUUACGGAUGAUGUCAAGUCAUACCUAACCUGCUCAUUGUAUAAAACUUAAUUAGUACUCCAAAGUGCCUUACUGUAACUAAUAAAAGAUGUAUUGACCCCCCUGUGCUAUUAAGAUAAGACUGAGAUUCUGUAGCAAAGAGACAUCUCAUGUCAGAGGUAAGAGGUCAGAGGUCAGUGCUUCGGGCUCCAGCAGGGUUCUGUUCCAUGCAGUCAUUCAGGGUCCUAAAGUACUUCAGUCUUUGUUUUGCCAUUCCCUAAGGUGUUGUCCUCAUUUACAUGGUCUCAAUUGGGUUUGAGUUCCAGUCUGUGGGAAGGGAGAAAGAGAGGCCCUGAAGGGCUGGCAAUUUCCUUUUAAAAAGAAACAUCACAGCUGGGCAUGGUGGCUCAUGUCUGUAAUACCAGCACUUUGGGAGACUGAGGCUGGAGGAUCUCUUGAGGCCAGGAGUUUGACACCAGCCUGGGCAACAUAGCAAGUCCCUGUCCCUAUGAAAAAUGCAAAAAUUAGCUGGGGUGUGAUGGCAUGUGCCUAUAGUCCCAGCUACUCAAGAGGCUGGCUGGGUGUGGUGGCUCAUGUCUCUAAUCCCACCACUUUGGGAGGCCGAGAUGGGCGGAUCAUGUGAGGUCAGGAGUUCAAGACCAGCCUGGCCAAAAUGGUGAAACCACAUCUCUACAAAAAUACAAAAGAAAAUAGCCAGGCGUGGUGAUGGGCCCUUGUAGUCCCAGCUACUCAGGAGGCUGAGGCAGGAGGAUUGCUAGAACCUGGGAGGCGGAGGUUGCAGUGAGCUGAGAUUGCGCCACUGCACUCCAGCCUGGGCGACAGAGUGAGACUCGGCUCAAAAAAAAAAAAAAAGUGUGCUUGAAGAUUUAGUUACAAGGUUGUUCACUGCAGAAUUCUGUUAAUAGCAGAAAAAUUGAAAACUGUCUAAAUAUUUAUCUCAUUGCUUCCUGUGGAAGAGAGCCUUAAAUGUGUCCAUGGAUACCAAGUGACAAUAUCAUUACAGUUACUGCUCCAAGAACCAUAAUCUCAUUUUGACAUAAAUUAUUUCAUUUAAUCAAUCCUGCAAGGCAGAUGUGAAUAUGUAAAUAAGCAGAGGCUCAGUGACCUUAAGAAACUAGUUUAAGGUCAAACAGCAAAUAAGUAAUAUGGUUAGCUUUCAACUCAGUUGUGUCCAGUUCUUCCCACUCUGCUUCGUGCAUCUUUUCUCAUUUGUUUUGCCUAGCAGGACUGAUGAGUGGAACACCUUGCUAAGGAGAAAGCAAUGUGCACAUCACAGGGCAACUCUUGAUAAACAACUGCCUCACCAGAGAUUGGUGGGGACAAUGCCUAGCCUUCAGGAUUCAUCAGGGUGUUUGUUUAUCAAGAGUAGAAACCAACUUUGAACUGUUUUAGGUAGAAAAGGGGAAACAUAAGAAAAUAGAAGCAUCUCACGAAGCUAAGGCAGGAAUGCAAGCAACCAGGUGUCAAAAGAGCUGACACUGAAAUGGAAAUAUCAGCAGGAACUCAGAGAGAGAGAGCUUACUUUGUUUCUCAGUUCAUUUUUUUUCUGCAGCAUCUGGCUUU